UGCGUAGGCGGGUCAGUAAGUCAGAGGUGAAAGCCCACAGCUUAACUGUGGAAUUGCCUUUGAAACUGCUGAUCUUGAGUUCGGUUGAUGUGGGCGGAAUGUAGCAUGUAGCGGUGAAAUGCUUAGAUAUGCUACAGAACACCAAUUGCGAAGGCAGCUCACAAAGCCGUUACUGACGCCGAGGCACGAAAGCGUGGGGAGCGAACAGGAUUAGAUACCCUGGUAGUCC
RNAcentral lists this ribosomal RNA (229 nucleotides) under uncultured bacterium. Its description in RNAcentral is "partial 16S ribosomal RNA". It matches the Rfam family "Bacterial small subunit ribosomal RNA", at positions 568 to 796 of the family's 1533-position model. The record is from RNAcentral.